UGCAAAUGCCUUCAAAUGUUCAGCUACAAAAGAUAUCACAGCUGCUGAAUUCUGACUUCAAGCUUUCAAACACCUUCACCUUCAUAAAGAAAGUCUUCAAGCAAGCGACACCCUGAAAUACUGAUGUGCUAUUCUAACUUCCGUCUUGCCCACUUAAUCUCAGUGACUCAUCACGUGCAGAUCCUGCUGCUUAACAACCUCUAAGACUCAAUACCUGAGCAACUGGCUUCAAGUAUCAUUGCAAGUCACCCUACUGGGCAAUGAUGGCCAUUGUCUCUCACAUCUCUGCCUGCCACUGUUGUUCCUCCCUGAAUGCGUGUGGGUGAAGUCCCUGAUUGCUGACACCACCGGGUCUUCUCCUGUGUGGGCCUGACUUGGUUUGCAGCCCUCCUCUGAGUGCCAGCUGCCUGAAGUGUUUCUUCCUCAUUCAGCUGCAGAACUGUCUCCAUGAAGUCCUCACCAGACUG
Non-coding RNA from Chiloscyllium plagiosum (whitespotted bambooshark), 467 nucleotides. Lineage: Eukaryota; Metazoa; Chordata; Chondrichthyes; Orectolobiformes; Hemiscylliidae. The record is from RefSeq and is a predicted model, not a curated record.